RNAcentral lists this ribosomal RNA (510 nucleotides) under uncultured bacterium. RNAcentral describes it as "bacterial SSU rRNA". It matches the Rfam family "Bacterial small subunit ribosomal RNA", at positions 40 to 518 of the family's 1533-position model. The record is from RNAcentral.
CGGCGUGCCUAAUACAUGCAAGUCGAACGGUCUUUUCUAUGGAAGCUUGCUUCCACUGAGAAGAUAGUGGCGGAACGGGUGAGUAACACGUGGGUAACCUGCCCAUGAGGAGGGGGAUAACAUCCGGAAACGGGUGCUAAUACCGCAUAGUUUUUCUUGAUCGCAUGAUCGGGAAAGGAAAGACGGCCUUUGUGCUGUCGCUUAUGGAUGGACCCGCGGCGUAUUAGUUAGUUGGUGAGGUAACGGCUCACCAAGACGAUGAUACGUAGCCGACCUGAGAGGGUGAUCGGCCACAUUGGGACUGAGACACGGCCCAAACUCCUACGGGAGGCAGCAGUAGGGAAUCUUCCGCAAUGGACGAAAGUCUGACGGAGCAACGCCGCGUGAGUGAAGAAGAUUUUUCCGGAUCGUAAAACUCUGUUGUCAGAGAAGAACAAGUUGGAGAGUAACUGCUCCAGCCUUGACGGUAUCUGACCAGAAAGCCACGGCUAACUACGUGCCAGCAGCAGC